CCCAUUGGUCAGUGUGGGUCAUGUGACUCAGGGGCCCUCUGGCCGGCCCUCGGCCCCGUGCUGAACAAACAGAGGAGGGCCCUCAGACGGAGAAUAACACAACAAUGGCCGUCUGUCAGGAAGGUGCUGACUGUCAACACACGGUCUGCCGGGGCCGGUACGGCUCAUGUGCCAAUACCUCCUGCAGGCUGACAACAGCCCGCUUCCGGAGCAUUCUUCUGUCUCAAUGGAAGCUGCAUUUCAUAACAUUUCUAAAUUAUUCGACAGCAAGACCCAAAAAGAGAAAUUAAAUUCUGCUCGGAAAUCGGAUUAAGAGGACUGCUGGGACACCCAAUCAGACUGAGCACAGGGGCUGUGGAGCCUGGGGUAUCAGGGAUUGGCUGUUCAUCACUGCCCCACUUCCUCCCUUCAUAUUUACCCUUCUCUCCUCUAUCUCUGGACGACACGCAGCCUGUUUAUCACCGUACCUUUCCCCUACAGAGAGGCCAUCUAUGCUACACUGGAAAAUAUCCCACAGCGGGUGUGUGUGUGUGUGUGUGUGUGUGUGUGUGUGUGUGUGUGUGUGUGUGUGUGUGUGUGUGUGUGUGUGUGUGUGUGUGUGUGUGUGUGUGUGUGUGUGUGUGUGUGUGUGUGUCUUUAGAGACCCCAGGGCAUGCCCAGUAGCAAUAGUAGCAAAAACACGCACACAAACCAUCCAUGUGUGUACAUGCACACUGACAAUAUCCUGGGGGAAUGAACCUCUCCCCAACAGCCCAACACGUAGAACCCAGAGCCCGAAGAAAGGAUGAGGAGUAGGAGUAGGAGUAGGAGUAGGAGUAGGAGUAGGAGCAGUUGCAGUAGUAGUAAUAGUAGUAUGAGCAGUUGUAGAAGCAGUAGUAGUCGUAGUCGUAGUAGGAGCAGUAGUAGUAGGAACAGUAGUUGGAGAUGGAGUUGUGAUACAUUGGUAUUGUGUAUCGUAAUUGGUUUGGGUUAUUUGGCACAGAAAGUUACUUUCUCUUUCUCUCGUUACUAAAAUGUAACUUUUAAUGCAGUUUGCUUAUUCAACUCAUUUUAUGAAGUUAGCCUUUUUGCAUUUUCUGGGUUGUGUCUUCAUGGUUGAAUGCACUUGAGUCACUAUGGAUUAAUGCGUCCCCUUAAUAAAUACGAGAGUAUGUCAAUAAAGGGUAA
This is a long non-coding RNA of Gadus macrocephalus (Pacific cod), 1167 nucleotides long. RefSeq lists it as uncharacterized. The transcript is spliced from 2 exons. Lineage: Eukaryota; Metazoa; Chordata; Actinopteri; Gadiformes; Gadidae. The record is from RefSeq and is a predicted model, not a curated record.